Molecule: long non-coding RNA, 744 nt
Organism: Mustela lutreola (European mink)
Lineage: Eukaryota; Metazoa; Chordata; Mammalia; Carnivora; Mustelidae
Exons: 2
Source: RefSeq, a predicted model, not a curated record
GUAGCGGUCUGGCGAGAGGAGUGGACACUCAGAUUCCCCGGGGAGUGUGGGCGGGGCCAGCCAGGCCGGGCGCAGGGGGCGUGGCUAGAGACGCCCGGGGCGGGGCCCAGCCCGAGGGACUCACCUGGCUCCACAGCGCCGCGGAUGAUCCCCAGGACGUUGGAGGAGUUCCGCAGCUCCCGGCGGUUGUGGACACUCACGUUCACCUGGCUUGGGGAGCCCGGGGGGCGACCAGAGGCUUGGCCCUGACCACUCCCGCUCCCAACCCGAUGCAGGGGAAACUGAGACCCAGAACGAGAAAGGGACACCACCAAGUCUCUGGCCCGCAGAUUUUAUUUAUUUGUCAGAGAAGGAGAGUGCUGAGCCCAGGCAGAGGGAGAAGCAGGCUCCCCACUGAGCAAAGACCCAGGCAUCCCUUAAGGUACAGUUUUAAACUGGUGGUGUCAGCUGGUGGCCCAGACCCUGUCUCCACCUUUCCUCCACCCCACCCUCUGAGGACCCUGGGACUCAGUAGAGGCUGGGGGCCCUGCUCACCGCCACUCUGCUCUUGGCCAGCCUGGAGGAAGGAAUGGGGGCAGAGGGAAAGACGGUGCACAGCCCUAGGGGUUCUCAUCUCCUCGGGCAGUGGGCCCUGAGCCCUAGUCCCAACCCUGGCCUGCUUCCUGGACGCCCUCCGGACCCCUCGCAAGGACCAAGUCCCCUAUCCCGGGAGUGUGGAUUCCAGCAAAGGAGCUGGAAAAAAGG